RNAcentral lists this ribosomal RNA (463 nucleotides) under uncultured bacterium. RNAcentral's name for it is "bacterial SSU rRNA". It matches the Rfam family "Bacterial small subunit ribosomal RNA", at positions 46 to 507 of the family's 1533-position model. The record is from RNAcentral.
GCUUAACACAUGCAAGUCGAACGAAGCACUUUAACUUGAUCCCUUCGGGGUGAUUGAUAUGUGACUGAGUGGCGGACGGGUGAGUAACGCGUGGGUAACCCUGCCUCAUACAGGGGGAUAACAGUUGGAAACGGCUGCUAAUACCGCAUAAGCGCACGGUAUCGCAUGAUACAGUGUGAAAAACUCCGGUGGUAUGAGAUGGACCCGCGUCUGAUUAGCUAGUUGGCGGAGUAACGGCCCACCAAGGCAACGAUCAGUAGCCGACCUGAGAGGGUGACCGGCCACAUUGGGACUGAGACACGGCCCAAACUCCUACGGGAGGCAGCAGUGGGGAAUAUUGCACAAUGGAGGAAACUCUGAUGCAGCGACGCCGCGUGAGCGAUGAAGUAUUUCGGUAUGUAAAGCUCUAUCAGCAGGGAAGAUAAUGACGGUACCUGAGUAAGAAGCUCCGGCUAAAUACGUG